GUGUGCGAUCAUACCAGCACUAAAGCACCGGAUCCCAUCAGAACUUCAAAGUUAAGCUUGCUUGGGCGAGAGUAGUACUAGGAUGGGUGACCUCCUGGGAAGUCCUCGUGUUGCAUUCC
RNAcentral lists this ribosomal RNA (119 nucleotides) under Hordeum vulgare subsp. vulgare (domesticated barley). The record is from RNAcentral. Lineage: Eukaryota; Viridiplantae; Streptophyta; Magnoliopsida; Poales; Poaceae.